This 1502-nucleotide ribosomal RNA is filed under the name uncultured Bordetella sp. RNAcentral's name for it is "partial 16S-23S ribosomal RNA intergenic spacer". It matches the Rfam family "Bacterial small subunit ribosomal RNA". The record is from RNAcentral. Lineage: Bacteria; Pseudomonadati; Pseudomonadota; Betaproteobacteria; Burkholderiales; Alcaligenaceae.
GUAGUAACAGAGGGUUUGAUCAUGGCUCAGAUUGAACGCUAGCGCGGAUGCCUUACACAUGCAAGUCGAACGGCAGCACGACUUCGGUCUGGUGGCGAGUGGCGAACGGGUGAGUAAUGUAUCGGAACGUGCCUAGUAGCGGGGGAUAACUACGAAAGCGUAGCUAAUACCGUACUUACUGCCCUCGGGGGAAAGCGGGGACCUUUCGGGCCUCGCACUAUUAGAGCGGCCGAUAUCGGAUUACUGAAGUUGGUGGGGUAACGGCUCACCAUGACGAUCCGUAGCUGGUUUGAGAGGACGACCAGCCACACUGGGACUGAGACACGGCCCAGACUCCUACGGGAGUGCAGCAGUGGGGAAUUUCCUUGGACAAUGGGGAAACUCGAUCCAGCCAUCCUGCUGGCAGACAAGGCCUUCGGGUUGUAAAGCACUUUUGGCAGGAAGAAACGGCACGGGAUAAUACCCCGUGCAACUGACGGUACCUGCAGAAUAAUAAGCACCGGCUAACUACGCCAGCAGCCGCGGUAAUACGUAGGGUGCAAGCGUUAAUCGGAAUUACUGGGCGUAAAAAGCGUGCGCAGGCGGUUCGGAAAGAAAGAUGUGAAAUCCCGUGAGCUUAACUUUUGGAACUGCAUUUUUAACUACCGAGCUAGAGUGUGUCAGAGGGAGGUGGAAUUCCGCGUGUAGCAGUGGAAUGCGUAGAUAUGCGGAGGAACACCGAUGGCGAAGGCAGCCUCCUGGGAUAACACUUGAUGCUCAUGCACGAAAGCGGGGAGCAAACAGGAUUAGAUACCCUGGUAGUCCACGCCCUAAACGAUGUCAACUAGCCGUUGGGGCCUUCGGGCCUUCGGUAGCGCAGCUAACGGGGCGGUGAAGUUGACCGCCUGGGGAGUACGGUCGCAAGAUUAAAACUCAAAGGAAUUGACGGGGACCCGCACAAGCGGUGGAUGAUGUGGAUUAAUUCGAUGCACCGCGAAAACCUUACCUACCCUUGACAUGUCUGGAAUCCCGAAGAGAUUUGGGAGUGCUCGCAAGAGAACCGAACACAGGCGCUGGGCAUGGCUGUCGUCAGCUCGUGUCGUGAGAUGUUGCUGGUCUCGCAACGAGCGCAACCCUUGUCAUUAGUUGCUACGAAAGGGCACUCUCAAUGAGACUGCCGGUGACAAACCGAGGAAGGUGGGGAUGACGUCAAGUCCUCAUGGCCCCUUAUGGGUAGGGCUUCACACGUCAUACAAUGGUCGGGACAGAGGUCGCCAACCCGCGAGGGGAGCCAAAUCCCAGAAACCCGAUCGUAGUCCGGAUCGCAGUCUGCAACUCGACUGCGUGAAGUCGGAAUCGCUAGUAAUCGCGGAUCAGCAUGUCGCGGUGAAUACGUUCCCGGUCUUGUACACACCGCCCGUCACACCAUGGGAGUGGGUUUUACCAGAAGUAUUAGCCUAACCGUAAGGAGGGCGAUUACCACGGUAGGAUUCAUGACUUCAGUGAAGUCGUAACAAGCGUAA